CCUGAGCGGCGGGUGGGGGCCCUAAAGUAAAAUAAGGGAGGGGGGAUUUGUCCUGCACCCACCCUUGAGCAGUGGGUGGGGGCCCCAAAUUAGAAUAAGGGGGGUGAACCUAUUGUCCUCCCCACCCCUGAGCGGUGGGUGGGGGUCCUAAAUACCGAUAAGGGGGGGACUUAUUGUCCUCCAUUUCAGCCCCCACCCCUGAGCGGCAGGUGGGGGCACCUUUUGUCCUCCCCCCAGCACCCACCACUGAGUGGCAGGUGGGGGCCCUAAAUAAAAAUGUUACCCUCCCAGGUGACUAGGGGUCCCCAUGUCACGAUUCUGGAACCUAACAUGCUAACAGGACACACAGAGGAGAAAAGAUGCUAUACCGGUCCUUAGAGUGGCAGGGCUAAGCACACUAAGAAUGGUCAGGAGACAAGCCAAGUAAAGGGAGACAGAAAACGGGAGAACGAGAAACAAGCCGAGGUCAAAGGAGUGGAGAAUACAGUAUAAUUGGAAUAACAAGCCAAAUAAUCGGUAACCAGAGAGAAACACGAGCAAACUGCAAUACAGGUAUCACAAGACCACAACAGGGCACUGAGAGACAGGAAAGGUAAGUAUAAAUACCCUUUGCUUAAUUCUGAUUGGAUAACUUCCAAUCAGAAUUAACAAUCACACGUGGGAGAUAUCUACGCCUCCCACUGUGAUUGUACUGUUGCUUUAACGCCUGAUCACGUGAGAGACCCCGGCAUUUGCAUAAAUUUGCAACCUCCCAGCGUGCAGCGUUAUACAUGCUGCCGCUGGGAGGCGUGGAGGACGCGAGCGGCGGAGAGGAGACGCUGCUCGACGACAGGUAGGAGGAUGGGAGAUCCCCUCACAGCCGCCCGCGGAACCCUGACAUAACCCCCCCCUCGAGGACCGCUCAAC
Molecule: non-coding RNA, 906 nt
Organism: Pelobates cultripes (western spadefoot toad)
Lineage: Eukaryota; Metazoa; Chordata; Amphibia; Anura; Pelobatidae
Source: the annotation of a GenBank genome assembly